CAAUACCGCGUGAAUGAUGAAGGCCUUAGGGUUGUAAAGUUCUUUUAGUUGGGAAGAUAAUGACGGUACCAACAGAAAAAAGCCCCCGGCUAACUCCGUGC
Molecule: ribosomal RNA, 101 nt
Filed under: uncultured bacterium
Lineage: Bacteria
Description: partial 16S ribosomal RNA
Rfam family: Bacterial small subunit ribosomal RNA
Source: RNAcentral